This 2799-nucleotide long non-coding RNA is filed under the name Homo sapiens (human). Its description in RNAcentral is "HSALNT0355605". Lineage: Eukaryota; Metazoa; Chordata; Mammalia; Primates; Hominidae. The record is from RNAcentral.
AAAAAAAAACGAAACAACAAAAAUAGCAACAACAACAACAAAAACCCACCUCACCUCUGCUGCUACCUCUCAUGCACAGAGCCAACUCGCACGGUAUUUCUGAUGGAGAGUCAUCCAGUCUGUGGAAAGUUUUCACGUCCUGCCGAGAAACCCUCUUCACUGAGACCUGGCCCUCUUCAUUAAGAAAUUCCUGCUUUGUAUAACAAAUGGGUUUUUUUUCAAUGCUCAGACACUCAUCAUCGUCCAAUCUCCUGGAGCCAUGUGGAGGAAAGCACUCCACCUCCCUCAGAACAGAGUUUCAAUAACCGAGGACAGCUUCGACGACUCUCAGCGUCUUCUUCAGGCCAAGCCAGAGCAAACUGGCUCUGCCGUCCUCCGCAGACUGAGCGGUGUCUCCCAACAGCACUCACGUACCACCCACCUCUUCACCUGUGUGGCUGGGCUGACCCUGCCUUCAAGGAACACUUGGCUGAGCUCAUCCCUGACUUGAACAUGGACUUUGCAUGCUACUACACUUUGACCACCAGCCUGACAGUGGCAAGAGAGGAAGAUUGAGGCCCAGGCAGAGGUUUAGGGACCCCUGGCUUCUCGUGCACCACCAGCACCAUUGCCAUUUUCAGAAAGCUGCCUCCUUCCUGGGUCCUCUGAGACAUCAGGUUGAGCAGUAUUGUGGCUGUCAUCAUGAACCUUGUCAUCAGGGACAGGCUCCAGUGUGUUUGAAAUCACAGCCAGGAGACAGAUAGAUUCAAGCCACCUGCGGAGGAGGAAAACCCUGUGAUCAACAAAUGAAGCAAGACGUCCACUGUCCAUGACUGAAACAAGCUGAAGCCACCUGGUUGGAAAGGAAAUGAAAUGAAGCUUGGAGCAAGACCCCGUGAACUUAUCUGCCAUGGCUGCAGGGGUGCCUCCGCUUUGCCAUCCACCCUGGGAACACAGCUGAUGGACUCUGCUCUCGGCCACUGUCCUGGAGGGACCCCUUCCUCUGCCUCCUGUUCAGGUUCCUUAUUUCUUUCGCAAUUGUGGCAGAAGGUGCUGCUGUUUUUCACAGACAUGAGUGGGACAGGGUUUCUCUCCUAAUAUUUAUUUGCCCUCAGAGCAAGGGCUGUUCUGCAUGGACCCAGGAUUUUGAGGAAUAAGAGGAUGUCACUGCGUUUUGGGGGAUUUGGCUGUCUGGCCAGCCUUUGAGUACCGAGUGGAUACAAUAGUAGCAAAGUGAGGUCCUUCAUCACCUGCUGUUUGCACACAUCCAUUCUAGUUCAGCAACAUUUUCUGCUCGUGUGAGCAGUUACCUUUCAUGAAGCCCACGCUCAUUCUGUUAAGGGAUAAUAUUACGUGGUUUUGACCCUCAGGGUAGCCACACAUCCCCUCUGCGAUUGUCCAUUUUACUCAUUUGUUGACUCAAAAAAAUGAGACAGGUGGCAGGGCCUGCAUCGGGGACUUCUCAGUGACCCUCACCUGGAUCCCAGUCAGGCUGGGGUCUCGGGGAAGCAGAAACCCAAGGCUGCCCAGCUCCCCAGGCUUCAUCCUUGCUUGGAACCCAAUAAGAGUUUCCCUUGCUCUUCCUCUCCCUGCUGGAACCAAAUGUACGGAAUUAAAAUCUAGGGUUUUUAAAUUAAUGCUAUCAAUGGCCGGAGAUGCCAGUUCAAGCAUCAAAACCACGUGACAAGCAGCCGUCCACUCAGGCCUCUGCAUGUGGUCCCCGAAGGCCAAGACCAGGGAGAGAGCCGGAAAAUGAAGAAUUGGAGUCUCACAGAUGGGCACCACCUGCGCCUCAGAUAUCGAGAGAAAGGAGGAAGCCGGAGGAGGAAAUGAAGUGUUUAGACUUUAAACAUCAGAGUGGAAAAUUGAAAUAAAUUCAUUACAUCAGCCUACCCUAGUUUAAAUAACAGAAAUGUAUUCUCGACAAGCUUUCAUCCUUUCCUUUCAAUUUAUUACAUUGAUUAACACCCCAAACCAUUAAUUCCAUCUGUGUUUUGUUUUCCUCCUCUCUUCCUGCUGUCACACAGUGCUCUGGGGAUAUGACAUCGUUCGUUUUGAAAAUCACUGGUUCAAAGAGAAGAUUUGGAAAGUGUGAAAAAAAUAACUCUUUGAACCAUACUCGUUUAAGACACAAAGAAACACCGAGGGUAGGCCAUGCAUUAAUGUAGCUUUAAAUAAUGGUAAUUUUUAUGAUUCCAUAAAAUAUUAAGGUUUCCCAUUUCAGAAACUAGCAACCAAGGGCAUUGUCAAUGUAAAUGUAAGUAAUUGAACCUAUCUAGAAUAUUGAAGAGGAUUAUUUCAGGCCAUUAUUUCUCAUAUCCUGCACAAAUAUUUAGUAGUAAAAUACCAUACUUUACUCUAUCCAAAGGCCACGGAUAUCAUAAAACAACUGAUCAGCACAUUCUCCCUGCAGCUGGUAGAGCCAUCUCACAAACGACCUGGACCUUCAGGAAGAAAUGGAAUCAGCUGUUACAAUUAGCCCUGAGGAAAGAUUGAUUACUUGAGGUCACCUGCGCUGCAUAAUAAAUGGGCCUGGGAGUCUCCUGGGCUUGUGGGGUGGAAGCCUCCAUCCCUGAGUUCCCUUGAUCUUAAAGACGAUCUUGAUUUUCAGUGCUUUCACCUGGGCACAGGUACAUUCGUGAUUAAAAUCAACUGUGUUAAAAGAAGACACAUAAACAUCUUACGUGACCUUGGCAUUUCAGGAUCAUUCACAAAGAAAUUUGCAUCCUUUUUCUUUAUCUUCAUAGCAGUUCUGUGCCAUCAUUUUCCCUCCUUUUACAGAUGAUGUUCAGAAAGGGUUAUGUCUUCCCCAAUGUGUUA